GCCAAAUCGGACGACAUUCUCCGCAUUCUCCUCAGAUUAUAAUCGUCAGUUGAAGUUAAUUUUGCUUUUUCUUGGCUUGGUUUGGAAUUGAAUCGAGUUGUGCUGGUAGGAUAACGUCUGUGAUAUCGCUAAGCACAGGUCUUCCUCACACUGCUGGGAUAUAUAGGAGGUUGUUAGGACGGAGAUUACCGGCGCUGCUCGCAAGUCCAUCGUGUGCGGUUUAGGAAUGAUUUGUAGAAACAGCAGGCCUGAACAUCAGUAGGCAACACACAGAAGGCAUGAACAUCCUCAUAUGUGAAUAAACCAUUAUAUUCACAACA
Long non-coding RNA from Ornithodoros turicata, 320 nucleotides. RefSeq lists it as uncharacterized. The transcript is spliced from 2 exons. The record is from RefSeq and is a predicted model, not a curated record. NCBI's taxonomy places the organism in Eukaryota, Metazoa, Arthropoda, Arachnida, Ixodida, Argasidae.